UGCCAUCUGUUAGGCCAUGAAGCACGAGAAAUAUCAGAAGAAAAUUCCAAAGUAGCCAUGCUCUGAGAGUAUUUUGUCCUGAAUUGAGUAAUGCUCAAAUGUUAUCUGAAUGUUGGAAGAAACCAUUUAAAAGAAAAAUCUUUACAAGCAAUUAUGCAUGCUGAAGCAAUCUACAUAGCAUACAGAAGAUUAUGAAUUCUUUCAUAAAUGGAUGCACCUGAGGAAGAGUCUGAAGAAGGAAGAACGCUCAGAAGACAGAAUUACGGUUAUGAGUCGUCGCCUCUUAGCAGAGUACUCGGCAGUGCCAGUCUAUGAAAUGCCAGCGGAAGGCUACAUGAUCUUGCUUCCAGCAGCUACACUGAAUCAAAGUGAGUAAAAGUAAGUUGCUUUGACUUUUGUGGAAGAAAUUAUUACUGUUGCCAGAAGGUAGUUGUGCAAAA
Long non-coding RNA from Phasianus colchicus (ring-necked pheasant), 440 nucleotides. RefSeq lists it as uncharacterized. Lineage: Eukaryota; Metazoa; Chordata; Aves; Galliformes; Phasianidae. The record is from RefSeq and is a predicted model, not a curated record.